AGCGUAGGUGGUUGUGCAAGUUGUAUGUGAAAGCCCCGGGCUUAACUCGGGAACUGCAUACAAAACUGUACUUCUAGAGUGUGGGAGAGGCAAGUGGAAUUCCUAGUGUAGCGGUAGAAUGCGUAGAGAUUAGGAGGAACACCAGAGGCGAAGGCGGCUUGCUGGAACACAACUGACACUGAGGCUCGAAAGCGUGGGGAGCAAACA
This 207-nucleotide ribosomal RNA is filed under the name uncultured bacterium. RNAcentral's name for it is "partial 16S ribosomal RNA". It matches the Rfam family "Bacterial small subunit ribosomal RNA", at positions 568 to 774 of the family's 1533-position model. The record is from RNAcentral.